UAUCGCGAUGGGCGGUUCGACCAACACCGUUCUUCACCUGCUGGCGGCGGCGCAGGAAGCGGAAAUCGACUUCACC
This 76-nucleotide transfer RNA is filed under the name Salmonella sp. FORC89. Its description in RNAcentral is "tRNA-Ala". Lineage: Bacteria; Pseudomonadati; Pseudomonadota; Gammaproteobacteria; Enterobacterales; Enterobacteriaceae. The record is from RNAcentral.